RNAcentral lists this ribosomal RNA (253 nucleotides) under uncultured bacterium. Its description in RNAcentral is "partial 16S ribosomal RNA". It matches the Rfam family "Bacterial small subunit ribosomal RNA", at positions 524 to 776 of the family's 1533-position model. The record is from RNAcentral.
UACGGAGGGUGCAAGCGUUAAUCGGAAUUACUGGGCGUAAAGCGCACGCAGGCGGUCAAUUAAGUCAGAUGUGAAAGCCCCGGGCUUAACUUGGGAAUUGCAUCUGAAACUAGCUGACUUGAGUUCAGAAGAGGAAAGUAGAAUUCCAUGUGUAGUGGUGAAAUGCGUAGAGAUGUGGAAGAAUACCGGUGGCGAAGGCGGCCCUCUGGACUAAGAUUGACGCUCAGGUGCGAAAGCGUGGGGAGCAAACAGG